Molecule: ribosomal RNA, 494 nt
Filed under: uncultured bacterium
Lineage: Bacteria
Description: partial 16S ribosomal RNA
Rfam family: Bacterial small subunit ribosomal RNA
Source: RNAcentral
GACGAACGCUGGCGGCGUGCUUAACACAUGCGAGUCGAACGGUGAAGCGCCGUCCUUUUUGGUGGGUGUGGAUGAGUGGCGAACGGGUGAGUAACACGUGAGUAACCUGCCCCCUUCUUCUGGAUAACCGCAUGAAAGUGUGGCUAAUACGGGAUAUUCUGGGUCUGUCGCAUGAUGGGUCUGGGAAAGAUAUUGUGUCGGUGGGGGAUGGGCUCGCGGCCUAUCAGCUUGUUGGUGGGGUGAUGGCCUACCAAGGCGGUGACGGGUAGCCGGCCUGAGAGGGUCGACGGCCACACUGGGACUGCGACGCCGAGCAGACUACUACGGGCGGCAGCAGUGAGUCAUACUGCACGAUCGGCGCAAGGCUGAUGCAGCGACGCCGCGGGAGGGAUGGACGCCUUAGGGUUGAGAACCUCUUUCGCCAGUGAAGCAGGCCUGCCUUGUCUGUGGGUGGGUUGACGGUAGCUAGAUAAGAAGCGCCGGCUAACUACGUG